This 253-nucleotide ribosomal RNA is filed under the name uncultured bacterium. Its description in RNAcentral is "partial 16S ribosomal RNA". It matches the Rfam family "Bacterial small subunit ribosomal RNA", at positions 524 to 776 of the family's 1533-position model. The record is from RNAcentral.
UACAGAGGGGGCAAGCGUUGUUCGGAAUUACUGGGCGUAAAGGGCGCGUAGGCGGCCUUCUAAGUCGAACGUGAAAUCCCCGGGCUCAACCCAGGAACUGCGUCCGAGACUGAAAGGCUCGAAUCCGGGAGAGGGAUGUGGAAUUCCAGGUGUAGCGGUGAAAUGCGUAGAUAUCUGGAGGAACAUCGGUGGCGAAGGCGGCAUCCUGGACCGGUAUUGACGCUGAGGCGCGAAAGCCAGGGGAGCAAACGGG